AUUGCAUUAUGUCAGCACUUUGAAGUGGGCUAUAGACCGAAUUUCACAUAAGUUCAGGCACUGACUGAUACGACCAUACUAACUGUUGUACUAACUACUUGUACGCAGGGAAUCAUGUGAUUUUACUGUAUAGAUUUUGAGAAAAUGUCAUUUGAAAAACGUACACAUGCAUAUUCUCGCCUUUGCAAAUUGCAUUAUGUCAGCAAUUUGAAGUGGGCUACAGACCAAAUUUCACAUAAGUUCCGGCACUGACUGAUAUGACCACAUUAACCGGUGUGCUGACUACUUGUACACAAGGAACCAUGUGGUUUUUGCUGUAUAUAUUUUGAGAGUGUGUCAUUUGAAAAACGUACACAUGCAUAUUCUCGCCUUUGCAAAUUGCAUUAUGUCAGCACUUUGAAGUGGGCUAUAGACCGAAUUACACAUAAGUCCAGGCACUGACCUAUACGACCAUACUAACCGUUGUACUGACUACUUGUACAGAAUGAACCAUUUGAUUUUACUGUAUAGAUUUAGAGAAAAUGUCAUUUGAAAAACGUACACAUGCAUGUUCUCGCCUUUGCAAAUUUGCAUUAUGUCAGCACUUUGAAGUGGGCUAUAGACCGAAUUUCACGUAAGUUCAGGCACUGACUGAUAUGACCAUGCUAACUGUUGGACUGACUACUUAAACGCAAGGAACCAUGUGAUUUUACUGUAUAGAUUUAUAGAAAACGUAAUUUGAAAAACGUACAUGCAUAUUCUCGCCUUUGCAAAUUUGCAUUAUGUCAGCACUUUGAAGUGGGCUAUAGACCGAAUUUCAAAUAAGUUCAGGCACUGACUGAUAUGACCAUACUAACUGUUGGACUGACUACUUGUACGCAAGGAACCAUGUGAUUUUACUGCAUAGAUUUUGAGAAAAUGUCAUUUGAAAAACGUACACAUGCAUAUUCUGCUGGCCAAUGGAGUCGAACGUCCGCACUGGCGGCCAACUUGCCACAGUCAGCUGCUCACCCAUAACACUGUGUUGACUUGGUAGUGGUACAUUUUGUUUUGUUCUAAACGUCAGAGAUGUAGUUACGGCACUGCAUAUUUGAUACUGAUGAAUAAUUAUGUUAGAUAAAAAAAAAAAUUGAAUAAUGUUCUAAAAUAUGUACAAUAUUAUAACCACGUUAAUAACGUUUGUAAGAAACCAAACCGUUUGUAAACCAGUUGAAAAUGUACUAAGUUAUGGUUAUUUAAAAAGUACAUGUACCACUUCUAACACAAUGCUAUGGGUGAGCAGCUGACUGGCAAGAUGACAGCAAGUGCGGACGUUCUAGACGCCGCCGUAAGACAUCUAGUUUUCUAUAUAUCUACACACGUAGGUGAAGGGUUUUAUUUUGAAAACGUUGCGAGAUACCACCCAAAGGCUGUUUAGAGUAAAGGCGCACGAAGAUUUUGUGUGACGGCUGGCUUAACCGCGGAUGAACGAAUGGCGGCUCACUUGACCGCAGUGCCGCUAACUGAGCCGCGGCGCUAAACUGUGAAGUUGGGCGGGUCCUCUCUCCCAAGACACACCCAUAGUGGCUCACUAGAGGGAAAAGUCCCUCAGUCGGAACGCCCCAUGUGUGUUCCCCUUAUAUUGGCUGAGUGAUCCAUCUUGCUCAACUACAAGUGAAGUGUCAACUACAAAAUCGAGAGAACCCAACGCAGUCGUUUGAGAUUCAUAAUAUCGUCUGGAGACGCACACAGCUUUUGGCUGUGAUAAUAUAUAUUAUAUGAUAUAGAUAUCUAUGAAUAAUAUGAUAUUAUUUAGACAUAGAGCUCCAGGAAUUCCGCCGGAGCACCCGGAGUGUUCCAGAAUAUUUACAGAACACGGCCAAAGGCUGUGUGCGCCUCGCCAUUGCGAUACAUCCACUGUAAACAGAGCGCAUGGUACCUUGGCCGAAAGCUGCUCAGGGCCACACCCCCACCCUCCUCCUUUACCCGCCUCUCUCCUCAUUUGCAUCAAAGCUACAGACACCGAAACGGCGCGUUUAGGGGAAGCUCAAUGUGCGACUGGCUCGUAGUGGCUGUAAUUCUGCACCACGGCUGAAUUUCGGGGACGUCUACAAAUACUGUGUUAAGGGCCCACUCAUAUCUAUAUUAAAGCAUCUAUAAAGUAGCAUGCCAUGGGACCUUUAAGGUAAGCAUUUCGGUUCCCUCUUUCUUCAUGAGGACCAUACUAAUCAGUGGAAUAUUGCAGUGAUAAAAUGAUACCACAGUUU
Gadus macrocephalus (Pacific cod) is the source of this 2225-nucleotide long non-coding RNA. RefSeq lists it as uncharacterized. The record is from RefSeq and is a predicted model, not a curated record. Lineage: Eukaryota; Metazoa; Chordata; Actinopteri; Gadiformes; Gadidae. The transcript has 3 exons.